This 495-nucleotide ribosomal RNA is filed under the name uncultured bacterium. RNAcentral's name for it is "partial 16S ribosomal RNA". It matches the Rfam family "Bacterial small subunit ribosomal RNA", at positions 28 to 507 of the family's 1533-position model. The record is from RNAcentral.
GACGAACGCUGGCGGCGUGCCUAAUACAUGCAAGUAGAACGCUGAAGGAGGAGCUUGCUUCUCCGGAUGAGUUGCGAACGGGUGAGUAACGCGUAGGUAACCUGCCUGGUAGCGGGGGAUAACUAUUGGAAGCGAUAGCUAAUACCGCAUAAGAGUAGAUGUCGCACGACAUUUGCUUAAAAGGUGCAACUGCACCACUACCAGAUGGACCUGCGUUGUAUUAGCUAGUUGGUGAGGUAACGGCUCACCAAGGCAACGAUACAUAGCCGACCUGAGAGGGUGAUCGGCCACACUGGGACUGAGACACGGCCCAGACUCCUACGGGAGGCAGCAGUAGGGAAUCUUCGGCAAUGGACGGAAGUCUGACCGAGCAACGCCGCGUGAGUGAAGAAGGUUUUCGGAUCGUAAAGCUCUGUUGUAAGAGAAGAACGAGUGUGAGAGUGGAAAGUUCACACUGUGACGGUAUCUGACCAGAAAGGGACGGCUAACUACGUG